GAAGACGGAGACCACCGCCGCCCAGAAGGCGUGAAGGCGUGAGGUCGUGAAGGCAUGAAGGCGCGUGAAGGCGUGAAGGCUUGAAGGCGCGUGAUGUCGUGCGAUGGCGCGUGAUGACAUGAAGGCGUGAGGCCUCACCUGCAAGCGUACGGUAGUGUGGAGUGGGCGGGGAUCAGGAGAGCAGGGCGUGUGUGUUGUUUUGUGGCUUGUGUGUCUUAUGGUCAUUGCACGGGCAUGUGCACUGCAUAGGGCAAUGCAUGGGUGUGACCAAGGCCUUUGCUGUGCAUCUUUUUGUGUGGGGGUGGUGCGGCAUGGAUGUGAGCGCGGGGUGGUUCUGGUUGGAGAAGAGAAGCGAGGGAUCGGAUUAUCGAUCAUGCUGCUGGGGCAUAUGCCCUCCACGGAUUCGGGUUGCGCUUCAUGACUGACUCGCUGCUGCUGAUCAAAGGGGUUCUCACCGGGCGAGGUUGACGCGCGUUGACGCGUGUUGACGCGUGUUGACAUGUUGCGGCGGAGGUUCAGGUAUGCACCGGUUUUGACGCAACUGGAAUUAUGUGCUCAGUUAGGGGAGGUGAGCGGUGCCCACAUUAUGGUAAGUAAGAGCGUG
RNAcentral lists this long non-coding RNA (604 nucleotides) under Chlamydomonas reinhardtii. RNAcentral describes it as "long non-coding RNA (CREI_LNC001174)". The record is from RNAcentral. Lineage: Eukaryota; Viridiplantae; Chlorophyta; Chlorophyceae; Chlamydomonadales; Chlamydomonadaceae.